RNAcentral lists this ribosomal RNA (492 nucleotides) under uncultured bacterium. RNAcentral's name for it is "partial 16S ribosomal RNA". It matches the Rfam family "Bacterial small subunit ribosomal RNA", at positions 29 to 507 of the family's 1533-position model. The record is from RNAcentral.
AGUGAACGCUGGCGGUAGGCCUAACACAUGCAAGUCGAACGGCAGCACAGUAAGAGCUUGCUCUUACGGGUGGCGAGUGGCGGACGGGUGAGGAAUACAUCGGAAUCUACUUUUUCGUGGGGGAUAACGUAGGGAAACUUACGCUAAUGCCGCAUACGACCUACGGGUGAAAGCAGGGGAUCUUCGGACCUUGCGCGAUUGAAUGAGCCGAUGUCGGAUUAGCUAGUUGGCGGGGUAAAGGCCCACCAAGGCGACGAUCCGUAGCUGGUCUGAGAGGAUGAUCAGCCACACUGGAACUGAGACACGGUCCAGACUCCCACGGGAGGCAGCAGUGGGGAAUAUUGGACAAUGGGCGCAAGCCUGAUCCAGCCAUACCGCGUGGGUGAAGAAGGCCUUCGGGUUGUAAAGCCCUUUUGUUGGGAAAGAAAAGCAGCAGGUUAAUACCCCGCUGUUCUGACGGUACCCAAAGAAUAAGCACCGGCUAACUUCGUG